GGCCGCGUGGCCUAAUGGCUAAGGCGUCAGAUUUCGGUUCUGUUCCGGCUCUCUGAAGAUUCCAGGUUCGACUCCUGGCGUGGUCG
This is a non-coding RNA of Mariannaea sp. PMI_226, 86 nucleotides long. NCBI's taxonomy places the organism in Eukaryota, Fungi, Ascomycota, Sordariomycetes, Hypocreales, Nectriaceae. The record is from the annotation of a GenBank genome assembly.